RNAcentral lists this ribosomal RNA (385 nucleotides) under uncultured bacterium. Its description in RNAcentral is "bacterial SSU rRNA". It matches the Rfam family "Bacterial small subunit ribosomal RNA", at positions 90 to 462 of the family's 1533-position model. The record is from RNAcentral.
GUCUAGUGGCGAACGGGUGAGUAACACGUGAGCAACCUGCCCAGAAGCAGGGGAUAAGCCACCGAAAGGUGGUGUAAUACCGUAUGUGAUACCAAGAGGCAUCUCUUGGCUAUUAAAGGGGGGGACCUUCGGGCCUCUCACUUCUGGAUGGGCUCGCGGCCUAUCAGCUUGUUGGUGAGGUAACGGCUCACCAAGGCAACGACGGGUAGCUGGUCUGAGAGGACGACCAGUCACACUGGAACUGAGACACGGUCCAGACACCUACGGGUGGCAGCAGUCGAGAAUCAUUCACAAUGGGCGAAAGCCUGAUGGUGCGACGCCGCGUGGAGGAUGACAGCCCUAGGGUUGUAAACUCCUGUCAUGAGAGAGUAAAGACUUAACGUUA